This 454-nucleotide ribosomal RNA is filed under the name uncultured bacterium. Its description in RNAcentral is "bacterial SSU rRNA". It matches the Rfam family "Bacterial small subunit ribosomal RNA", at positions 340 to 786 of the family's 1533-position model. The record is from RNAcentral.
UACGGGAGGCAGCAGUGGGGAUAUUGCACAAUGGGCGAAAGCCUGAUGCAGCUAUGCCGCGUGUAUGAAGAAGGCCUUAGGGUUGUAAAGUACUUUCAUCGGGGAGGAAAAAACAAAACUAAUAAUUUUAUUUCUUGACGUUACCCGAAAAAGAAGCACCGGCUAACUCCGUGCCAGCAGCCGCGGUAAUACGGAGGGUGCUAGCGUUAAUCAGAAUUACUGGGCGUAAAGAGCACGUAGGUGGUUUUUUAAGUCAGAUGUGAAAUCCCUGGGCUUAACCUAGGAACUGCAUUUUGAAACUGAAAUACUAGAGUAUCGUAGAGGGAGGUAGAAUUCUAGGUGUAGCGGUGAAAUGCGUAGAUAUCUGGAGGAAUACCUGUGGCGAAAGCGGCCUCCUAAACGAAUACUGACACUGAGGUGCGAAAGCGUGGGGAGCAAACAGGGAUUAGAUACC